This is a long non-coding RNA of Salvia splendens (bonfire salvia), 1507 nucleotides long. RefSeq lists it as uncharacterized. The transcript has 8 exons. The record is from RefSeq and is a predicted model, not a curated record. NCBI's taxonomy places the organism in Eukaryota, Viridiplantae, Streptophyta, Magnoliopsida, Lamiales, Lamiaceae.
UUCCCAACCCCACGGCCCCCCAAAAUUCCCUCAGCUCCACGAUCGCCCGCCCCAAUCUCUCCUCCACCACCCAUGACCGCCACAAAAUCCAAUGCCCUUUGCCAUCGCUCCCGUCUGGUUCCCUGUUGUGGCUUCGCUGCCUCAUCCGCCGCCCUCUGCCACGAUACCACCGUCUAUACCCUCACUCCGCUCGUCAAAGUCUCCCCGCCGUCGAAUUGUUGUUCCUCAUCAUCGUCGACGUAUCGAGAUCCCCGACCUCGCCGCGUCCUACACCAGCGCCAUCCAGUACUUGCAUCUCUGCCUCUGCGACCAGCGCACAGUCCUCGCCUCCGUCGAUCGCCGCCUCCAGCGGCGUGUUCGAAUUCCUGGUGAAACUAUUGCCGACUCCACGACGGAACUCCACCGCGAGCUGCGGAGAGGCGAUGUUGUCGAAUUGAGCUUGGCGGUUGGUGGCGGUUUCAAUUUUAGAGGAAAUUGAGAUUGCAAAAGUAGUUUGCAGGAAGCUUGAAGGUAUUUCCUAUUUAUUUCUGAUUCUGUAUGUAAUAGCAAAAACUACCAAUGAGAAGAAAGCUUCAUGCAGAAUAGUUUGCAGAAAGCUUGAAGGGAAAUUUCAGGAUCUGAAAAUUUUAAAGAAUCAGUUGUAUUCAGCAGCUGAAUCAAGAAGAAAUGAUUAUUGCAGAGCUAUAGCAUAAAUACAAGAAUUUCAUCGUGCAUAGUAUGGAACUAGGAGCUCCGCCUCCUGGACCUCCCUCGGAUAUAUAGCAAUCUAAAAUUGCACAAUAAUUGUGUAAGCAGAUGACCUCAAGUCAGAUGUUUUUGUCCAUGGCCGAAGAGUUUGAUAUGGGUGAUGUUCUCAUCGGUGGUAAACAGAGCAGUGACUAUUGCACCUAAGGAUGUUCAUCGUUUCCGAAUUCUGGGACUUCUCUUAUAGCCUGUCCAACGAUAUUUGCUAUGCUUUAGUAAUCAGACUAGUAGGGUGUUUGGCUAAGCCUAUUUAAAGAUGUUAGUAGAUUUAUGUUAAUGGAUCAUUUGUUGUAGACUGAUAGCCAUGAUCAACCAUGCCAUAGAAGUAUCUGGAUUGGUAAAUCAAGAAUGCAAGUUUGUGGUUCAAAAAUAUGGCUCAUCUAUUAUGGAUAUUAUCUUGAAAGAGUUGCAACCAGAUAAUAUAUGUGGCCAACUCGGGGUGUGCGCAGCCCAUGGAGCAAGGUUAGUGCUCGUCUUCAUAGAUAGUUGAGCUUAGAUAAUAAUUGAGGUUUGUGUAGAUGGAUAUCUGAUUUCCAGAUGCACAAAAGCUUUGCUCAAUGAUAAUUGGAAGGACUGAAGAGAGAAGAAGGUAGAGAUUUUAUCAGUCGAAGAAGCUGCAUAAUGUCCUAAUCUCGAUUUACUGUUUCUGAAGUUGUAAUUUACUUAUUGCGGGGGUGAGGGGUGUUUCACCUAAUCAUAUAUUGUAUAUGUGAAUGUUUAAAUUUAUAAACUAGAAAAUAAAAUUUGAUGUUUUUUUUGGAAA